RNAcentral lists this ribosomal RNA (271 nucleotides) under uncultured bacterium. RNAcentral describes it as "partial 16S ribosomal RNA". It matches the Rfam family "Bacterial small subunit ribosomal RNA", at positions 524 to 794 of the family's 1533-position model. The record is from RNAcentral.
UACGUAGGGUGCGAGCGUUGUCCGGAAUUAUUGGGCGUAAAGAGCUCGUAGGCGGUUUGUUGCGUCUAUCGUGAAGACCUGGGGCUCAACCCCGGGCCUGCGGUGGAUACGGGCAGACUUGAGUUCGGUAGGGGAGACUGGAAUUCCUGGUGUAGCGGUGAAAUGCGCAGAUAUCAGGAGGAACACCGGUGGCGAAGGCGGAUCUCUGGGCCUUGCCUGACGCUGAGACGCGAAAGCUAGGGGAGCGAACAGGAUUAGAAACCCGAGUAGU